GAUGAACGCUGGCGGCGUGCUUAACACAUGCAAGUCGAACGAUGAAGCCCAGCUUGCUGGGUGGAUUAGUGGCGAACGGGUGAGUAACACGUGAGUAACCUGCCCUUGACUCUGGGAUAAGCGCUGGAAACGGCGUCUAAUACCGGAUACGAGCUUCCACCGCAUGGUGAGUUGCUGGAAAGAAUUUCGGUCAAGGAUGGACUCGCGGCCUAUCAGGUAGUUGGUGAGGUAACGGCUCACCAGGCCGACGACGGGUAGCCGGCCUGAGAGGGUGACCGGCCACACUGGGACUGAGACACGGCCCAGACUCCUACGGGAGGCAGCAGUGGGGAAUAUUGCACAAUGGGCGCAAGCCUGAUGCAGCAACGCCGCGUGAGGGACGAAGGCCUUCGGGUCGUAAACCUCUUUUAGCAGGGAAGAAGCGAAAGUGACGGUACCUGCAGAAAAAGCACCGGCUAACUACGUG
Molecule: ribosomal RNA, 466 nt
Filed under: uncultured bacterium
Lineage: Bacteria
Description: partial 16S ribosomal RNA
Rfam family: Bacterial small subunit ribosomal RNA
Source: RNAcentral